RNAcentral lists this long non-coding RNA (495 nucleotides) under Homo sapiens (human). Its description in RNAcentral is "non-protein coding lnc-GOLGA6D-1:1". The record is from RNAcentral. Lineage: Eukaryota; Metazoa; Chordata; Mammalia; Primates; Hominidae.
AGACCCUUUGCCACCUUGACCAGGGCUGAGUCCUUAAAUUUCUGGAUGAUGAUGAUUACUAUUUAAGAGCCAGAGGCUGGUAGAGCUGGUUUGUUUGGAGGAGGCCUCAUGGCCUCCCUACUCUCACCGAAGCAACUUUUCCCUCAGGGGGCUCCCAUCUUCUUAUUCAGAGAGGCAGCUGAGGCGGGACAGUGGGGCUAACUGUAGAGCAGGCGAGGGCACAGGCUGCUGGGGUGGACCCCCUUCCGCAGUGUACAUAUAGUAUCUGUGUGACAUUUUGUAUAUUCCAGGGGGUAGGGCCACCCCCUGUAUUGUACCUAGAGGAGGUUGGAGCUGGCAUAUGAGGAGGAGGUUCUAAUCAUUAUUUGUGGCUGGGAAACUUAUUUAUUGAUAGCAUAGGACAGAGGAAGGAGGCGGGGAUGGGGUUGUGGCUCCCUGGUGAUGUGACUCCCGUUUAUUUUGCUUUUCAUUUUGGAGUAAAUGGAUUUAGCCAUA